CCAUCACCGUAUAGCGAGCUGACGAGGUUAUUCCGAGUGUUCCCUGCUAAAGGGAUCUUUUGCCAGCUCUAAAAAUGCUGGAGAAUAAGGGGUGGGCAAGCCUGGUGUCAGCCGCCGCGGUAAUACCAGCACCCCGAGUGGUCGGGAUGAUUAUUUGGCCUAAAGCAUCCGUAGCCGGCGCAUCAAGUCUUCCGUUAAAUCCACCUGCUCAACAGAUGGGCUGCGGGAGAUACUGCUGCGCUAGGAGGCGGGAGAGGCGAGGGGUAUUCCAUGGGUAGGGGUAAAAUCCUCUGAUCCAUGGAGGACCACCAGUGGCGAAGGCGUCUCGCCAGAACGCGCUCGACGGUGAGGGAUGAAAGCUGGGGGAGCAAACCGGAUUAGAUACCCGGGUAGUCCCAGCUGUAAACGAUGUAGGCUCGGUGAUGGACUGGAUUCGAUCCAGCCCAGUGCCGCAGGGAAGCCGUUAAGCCUACCGCCUGGGGAGUACGGUCGCAAGACUGAAACUUAAAGGAAUUGGCGGGGGAGCACCACAAGGGGUGAAGCCUGCGGUUCAAUUGGAGUCAACGCCGGGAACCUUACCGGGGGCGACAGCAGUGUGAAGGUCAAGUCGAAGACUUUACCAGACGAGCUGAGAGGAGGUGCAUGGCCGUCGCCAGCUCGUGCCGUGAGGUGUCCUGUUAAGUCAGGUAACGAGCGAGACCCCUACCCCUAGUUGCUACUAUUACUCUCAGGAGUAGCAGGGCGAAUUAGGGGGACCGCCGUUGUUAAAACGGAGGAAGGAGGGGGCUACGGCAGGUCAGUAUGCCCCGAAACCCCCGGGCUACACGCGGGCUGCAAUGAUGGGGACAAUGGGUUCCGACUUUGAAAAAAGGAGGCAAUCCCCAAACCCUAUCCCAGUUAUGACUGAGGGCUGAAACUCGCCCUCACGAAUAUGGAAUCCCUAGUAAUCGCGUGUCACCAUCGCGCGGUGAAUACGUCCCUG
RNAcentral lists this ribosomal RNA (982 nucleotides) under uncultured euryarchaeote. RNAcentral's name for it is "bacterial SSU rRNA". It matches the Rfam family "Archaeal small subunit ribosomal RNA", at positions 343 to 1332 of the family's 1478-position model. The record is from RNAcentral. Lineage: Archaea; Methanobacteriati; Methanobacteriota.